UCGCAGAUGGAUGAAAGGUAAGUCGGCACUAGCGCAAAGUGCGAUGCAGGUUCAAUCCCUGCUCUGCGAGCCA
RNAcentral lists this transfer RNA (73 nucleotides) under Bacillus cereus. RNAcentral describes it as "tRNA-Ala". Lineage: Bacteria; Bacillati; Bacillota; Bacilli; Caryophanales; Bacillaceae. RNAcentral also lists the same sequence under 2 other names. The record is from RNAcentral.